RNAcentral lists this non-coding RNA (26 nucleotides) under Cricetulus griseus (Chinese hamster). Lineage: Eukaryota; Metazoa; Chordata; Mammalia; Rodentia; Cricetidae. The record is from RNAcentral.
UAUUGGAGCUGAGACAACACGGAAAG